This 86-nucleotide non-coding RNA is filed under the name pig gut metagenome. RNAcentral describes it as "yjdF RNA". It matches the Rfam family "azaaromatic riboswitch aptamer (yjdF RNA)", at positions 6 to 91 of the family's 101-position model. The record is from RNAcentral.
CAGAGAUAAAAACACGGUCCGGUUGGUAGUCCGGGCGUUCCUACGGAAUCAGUAACCUGCCUCCUUGGUUGUCCCUUCUUUGCGUA